Long non-coding RNA from Anolis carolinensis (green anole), 1177 nucleotides. RefSeq lists it as uncharacterized. Lineage: Eukaryota; Metazoa; Chordata; Lepidosauria; Squamata; Anolidae. The transcript is spliced from 3 exons. The record is from RefSeq and is a predicted model, not a curated record.
ACUACUCCAUUGGCAGGGGCAUUCCGUAAAGGAAAAUGGUUGUUGCUGGGAGCAACAGUUGCCCCCAGCAAUGAUUGCUAUUGGAAGGAGGGGUCCUUGAUAGACAAUGAGGAACAGGGCUGCAGUGAUUGGCUUGGAUCUCCUCUGGGUGGAAUCUGUGGUGCCCUGCAUGAUUGAUCAAGCCAGCAUCAAAAGCAACAGUAAUCAGGAUCAACAUCAACACCUGGCAUCUGUGGAUACUUGCCAAGAACGUCAAGGCCCUGGCAAUGCCCAUGGCUAAUAUCUGCCAUGAUGGUUCCCAAAUGUUAUUUCUAACCUGACGUUCCAAGCAAUAUCAUUAAUUUCCCAGUGUUGUGCUCACUCCAGAUUUCUAAGCACUGAAAGUUUCCAGAAAUGACCUCAAGGAGAUGAAACAGCAAGAAAAACAGCAGGAGAACAGAUGUCAGAUAACAUGACCUAUAUCCAACAAGACAUGGGGUUAUAGAGAACAUCUUUGUUUCUAUAAGGGGUGAUACCCACAGCAAAGAAACACAUGAAUUGUGUCCAUCAAUUUAUUUCCAUCUGAACUAUUGAGGGCGGCGAAGGGUCCAGCUCGGACACUCUCCCUUUGAAUCCACUUCUAGAGCCUUCUGUUGUUUACAUUAUGUGUUGAAUAAUCAUUUCACAGCUAAAAUCUCUUGUAUAAGAGUUUUCAUUAUAUCAGAAGCUGACAGUGGCGUGAGUAGGAUUACACUAGAUCAGUUUCUGUUGGUGAGUACCAGAGAUGUGGACAAGCUGCUAUGAUGAGUACAAAACACAGCCGGUCCUCUCAGUCCCUGCUUGGCUGUUCAUCCAGAAAAUAAAUGCAAUGUACUAUUAAUGCAUUUGUCAGGGAUGGGAAUUUUCCAUCUUGUUAAAAGAACUGGUGGUAAAAAGCCCUCCUGGGAUCCCCUGGACUUGAAAAAGACCAGUAUUAAAUCUCCUGGUUUUGGGCAAGAUGUUCAAGAAAGCAGUUGCCAUCCAAUUUCAGGCAGUCUUAAAUGUUACAGGCUUUCUAGAUCCAUCUCAAAGCAGAGCAAGAAAGAGUUGAGACUUCCAAGCAAGCUUUAUUGUUCUAAUCUCAGAUAUGAAAUGAAAGAACCAGGUCAGGUGAGCCUUCAAUAAAUAAAGAGAAAUAUCUUGAAUCUUCCAGAAAUCA